This 641-nucleotide ribosomal RNA is filed under the name uncultured Streptococcus sp. Its description in RNAcentral is "bacterial SSU rRNA". It matches the Rfam family "Bacterial small subunit ribosomal RNA", at positions 28 to 652 of the family's 1533-position model. The record is from RNAcentral. Lineage: Bacteria; Bacillati; Bacillota; Bacilli; Lactobacillales; Streptococcaceae.
GACGAACGCUGGCGGCGUGCCUAAUACAUGCAAGUAGAACGCUGAAGAGAGGAGCUUGCUCUUCUUGGAUGAGUUGCGAACGGGUGAGUAACGCGUAGGUAACCUGCCUGGUAGCGGGGGAUAACUAUUGGAAACGAUAGCUAAUACCGCAUAAAAUGGAUUAUCGCAUGAUAAUCCAUUGAAAGGUGCAAAUGCAUCACUACCAGAUGGACCUGCGUUGUAUUAGCUAGUUGGUGGGGUAACGGCUCACCAAGGCGACGAUACAUAGCCGACCUGAGAGGGUGAUCGGCCACACUGGGACUGAGACACGGCCCAGACUCCUACGGGAGGCAGCAGUAGGGAAUCUUCGGCAAUGGACGGAAGUCUGACCGAGCAACGCCGCGUGAGUGAAGAAGGUUUUCGGAUCGUAAAGCUCUGUUGUAAGAGAAGAACGAGUGUGAGAGUGGAAAGUUCACACUGUGACGGUAUCUUACCAGAAAGGGACGGCUAACUACGUGCCAGCAGCCGCGGUAAUACGUAGGUCCCGAGCGUUGUCCGGAUUUAUUGGGCGUAAAGCGAGCUCAGGCGGUUAGAUAAAUCUGAAGUCAAAGGUUGUGGCUUUCCCACAAUACGCUUUGAAGACUGCUAACCUCGACUCCCAC